This 70-nucleotide transfer RNA is filed under the name Greenidea ficicola. RNAcentral's name for it is "tRNA-Pro". Lineage: Eukaryota; Metazoa; Arthropoda; Insecta; Hemiptera; Aphididae. The record is from RNAcentral.
CAGUAUAUAUUUUAAUUAAAAUUUUAAUUUUGGAAAUUAAUGAUAAUAUAGAUUUUUAUAUUUAUACUGA